UAGUUGGGCACUCUAAGGUGACUGCCGGUGACAAACCGGAGGAAGGUGGGGAUGACGUCAAAUCAUCAUGCCCCUUAUGACCUGGGCUACACACGUGCUACAAUGGACGAUACAAACGGUUGCCAACUCGCGAGAGGGAGCUAAUCCGAUAAAGUCGUUCUCAGUUCGGAUUGUAGGCUGCAACUCGCCUACAUGAAGCCGGAAUCGCUAGUAAUCGCGGAUCAGCAUGCCGCGGUGAAUACGUUCCCGGGCCUUGUACACACCGCCCG
RNAcentral lists this ribosomal RNA (269 nucleotides) under Lysinibacillus sphaericus. RNAcentral's name for it is "partial 16S ribosomal RNA". It matches the Rfam family "Bacterial small subunit ribosomal RNA", at positions 1128 to 1396 of the family's 1533-position model. The record is from RNAcentral. Lineage: Bacteria; Bacillati; Bacillota; Bacilli; Caryophanales; Bacillaceae.